UACAGAGGGUGCGAGCGUUGUCCGGAAUCACUGGGCGUAAAGGGCGCGUAGGCGGCCUGAUAAGUAGGGGGUGAAAUCCUGUGGCUUAACUGCAGGGCUGCCUCCUAGACUGUUAGGCUCGAGCACGGUAGAGGCAGAUGGAAUUCCCGGUGUAGCGGUGGAAUGCGUAGAGAUCGGGAAGAACAUCGGUGGCGAAGGCGGUCUGCUGGGCCGUACCUGACACUGAUGCGCGACAGCAUGGGGAGCAAACAGG
This 253-nucleotide ribosomal RNA is filed under the name uncultured bacterium. Its description in RNAcentral is "partial 16S ribosomal RNA". It matches the Rfam family "Bacterial small subunit ribosomal RNA", at positions 524 to 776 of the family's 1533-position model. The record is from RNAcentral.